AGCGGGGUAUAGGAAUUGGUCAACUCAUCAGGCUCAUGACCUGAAGACUGCAGGUUCGAAUCCUGUCCCCGCCU
Molecule: transfer RNA, 74 nt
Filed under: Triticum aestivum (bread wheat)
Lineage: Eukaryota; Viridiplantae; Streptophyta; Magnoliopsida; Poales; Poaceae
Rfam family: tRNA
About the family: Transfer RNA (tRNA) molecules are approximately 80 nucleotides in length. Their secondary structure includes four short double-helical elements and three loops (D, anti-codon, and T loops).
Source: Rfam by way of RNAcentral